RNAcentral lists this ribosomal RNA (327 nucleotides) under uncultured eukaryote. RNAcentral describes it as "partial 18S ribosomal RNA". It matches the Rfam family "Eukaryotic small subunit ribosomal RNA", at positions 1470 to 1796 of the family's 1831-position model. The record is from RNAcentral.
CCCUUAGAUGUUCUGGGCCGCACGCGCGCUACACUGAUGAAUGCAACGAGCUCUACCCUUGACCGAAAGGCCCGGGUAAACUUGUGAAACUUCAUCGUGAUGGGGAUAGAUUAUUGCAAUUAUUAAUCUUCAACGAGGAAUUCCCAGUAAGCGCGAGUCAUCAGCUCGCGUUGAUUACGUCCCUGCCCUUUGUACACACCGCCCGUCGCUCCUACCGAUUGAAUGGUCCGGUGAAAUCUUCGGAUUGCUGACCAAGAUCCAGCAAUGGAGCUUGGUUGCGAGAAGUUGAUUAAACCUUAUUAUUUAGAGGAAGGAGAAGUCGUAACA